RNAcentral lists this ribosomal RNA (1431 nucleotides) under uncultured organism. RNAcentral describes it as "16S ribosomal RNA". It matches the Rfam family "Bacterial small subunit ribosomal RNA". The record is from RNAcentral.
GAUGAACGCUAGCUACAGGCUUAACACAUGCAAGUCGAGGGGCAGCAUGGUCUUAGCUUGCUAAGGCCGAUGGCGACCGGCGCACGGGUGAGUAACACGUAUCCAACCUGCCGUCUACUCUUGGACAGCCUUCUGAAAGGAAGAUUAAUACAAGAUGGCAUCAUGAGUCCGCAUGUUCACAUGAUUAAAGGUAUUCCGGUAGACGAUGGGGAUGCGUUCCAUUAGAUAGUAGGCGGGGUAACGGCCCACCUAGUCUUCGAUGGAUAGGGGUUCUGAGAGGAAGGUCCCCCACAUUGGAACUGAGACACGGUCCAAACUCCUACGGGAGGCAGCAGUGAGGAAUAUUGGUCAAUGGGCGAGAGCCUGAACCAGCCAAGUAGCGUGAAGGAUGACUGCCCUAUGGGUUGUAAACUUCUUUUAUAAAGGAAUAAAGUCGGGUAUGCAUACCCGUUUGCAUGUACUUUAUGAAUAAGGAUCGGCUAACUCCGUGCCAGCAGCCGCGGUAAUACGGAGGAUCCGAGCGUUAUCCGGAUUUAUUGGGUUUAAAGGGAGCGUAGAUGGAUGUUUAAGUCAGUUGUGAAAGUUUGCGGCUCAACCGUAAAAUUGCAGUUGAUACUGGAUAUCUUGAGUGCAGUUGAGGCAGGCGGAAUUCGUGGUGUAGCGGUGAAAUGCUUAGAUAUCACGAAGAACUCCGAUUGCGAAGGCAGCCUGCUAAGCUGCAACUGACAUUGAGGCUCGAAAGUGUGGGUAUCAAACAGGAGUAGAUACCCUGGUAGUCCACACGGUAAACGAUGAAUACUCGCUGUUUGCGAUAUACAGCAAGCGGCCAAGCGAAAGCGUUAAGUAUUCCACCUGGGGAGUACGCCGGCAACGGUGAAACUCAAAGGAAUUGACGGGGCCCGCACAAGCGGAGGAACAUGUGGUUUAAUUCGAUGAUACGCGAGGAACCUUACCCGGGCUUAAAUUGCAGAUGAAUUACGGUGAAAGCCGUAAGCCGCAAGGCAUCUGUGAAGGUGCUGCAUGGUUGUCGUCAGCUCGUGCCGUGAGGUGUCGGCUUAAGUGCCAUAACGAGCGCAACCCUUGUUGUCAGUUACUAACAGGUCAUGCUGAGGACUCUGACAAGACUGCCAUCGUAAGAUGUGAGGAAGGUGGGGAUGACGUCAAAUCAGCACGGCCCUUACGUCCGGGGCUACACACGUGUUACAAUGGGGGGUACAGAGGGCCGCUACCACGCGAGUGGAUGCCAAUCCCCAAAACCUCUCUCAGUUCGGACUGGAGUCUGCAACCCGACUCCACGAAGCUGGAUUCGCUAGUAAUCGCGCAUCAGCCACGGCGCGGUGAAUACGUUCCCGGGCCUUGUACACACCGCCCGUCAAGCCAUGGGAGCCGGGGGUACCUGAAGUGCGUAACCGCGAGGAGCGCCCUAGGGUA